Long non-coding RNA from Leptinotarsa decemlineata (Colorado potato beetle), 1281 nucleotides. Lineage: Eukaryota; Metazoa; Arthropoda; Insecta; Coleoptera; Chrysomelidae. The record is from RefSeq and is a predicted model, not a curated record.
CGGUAAACACGUCGGGACGAGUUCGCAUCGCUCUGCCCCAGUGACCACACAGAGUGUGUUUUUGGAAAAAUAAUAUUAAUUUACAGAUAUGGUGUAUAAACACAACACAAGGAUCUUAGAGUAAAAAAAAAUAUGCAGGCCAUAAAUUUGUGUUUGGCUGGAGAAUCGAUUAAAAGGACAAUAAAAAAAUACGGGCUAGCUUAGGCUACAUUAUAUCGACAUGUCGAAUGUGAAAUUUUCUCCACAGUCAGGUCGACUCCGUCCUAUAUUCACAACUGUCAUUGGCUUUUGUAAUGCAGCUGGUAGCUUAAAUUUCUUCCACCUUUUUUAAUUUUUGAUAUAAAGAAGAUGCAGCCAAGACUUCUUGAUGGAAGUCCGCCAGGGAUUCAAGGAACGUUUACUCCCAAUGGUUGGACAUCAGGCGAAGUCUUCUUGAAUUGGAUGCACUUUUUCGUAGAGCACGUGAUGCUAACAUCAGACAAAAAGUUCCUAUUAAUACUAGACAAUCACGAAAGUGACAAAUAUUAUCCUGUACUUGGGUACGUAACCAAAAAAAAUGUGGUGAUAUUAUCCUUAGCAACCCAUACUAACCACAAAAUGCAACCGAUGGAUGUUGCUAUAUAGCCCACGGAAAACGUAUUUUGAAAGGGAGAUCAUUAGUUUAAAAAAUCUCACCCCGGCCGCAUCAUUAACCAGCUGCUAGCACCAGUUUUUCUCAAAACGGCGGUGGCCAUCAACACAGUGCAUGCAUUUGAACGUCUUGGAGUUUGGUCUUUAAACAAGCAUGCUUUUGGUGAUCAUCAUUUUGCACCAGCCGAUAUACUUGCAGGCAGAUUCAAUUUGAAUACUCAGUCAGAAGCUUUUGCCCCCAACGGAAAGAACUAAUUUGCCCGAGUCCAUCAUUCAAGCGUCAUCUUCGAAUGAAUCUCACGAAUCUCAGAACAAUGUUUUUUCAAUAUGUUCCUUUAAUUUACAAUGUUUAUUUAUUCAUGAGUUCAAUUUCUUUGUUUGUAAUAACUACAAUAACUAGCAUUGUAGAAAAAAAUUUUUUUAUAUGUUUCUUCAAUUUUUGAUGGUUUUUUUUCAAUUUUAAUGUUGAGUUCCAUGACGAAUAAUGUUGUUCGCUUUGCCCUAGUACUGAAUCCACUUUACCCGGGGUGCUGGGCAAAGUGGAUAUUCAUGCCAUUGUUGAAAACUGGCCUUAUAUCUAAUAGUUUAGCUAUUAUUAAGAACAAAUGUUAUUACAUUUUGUAAGUCCAUUAAAUGAAGACUCAAUAUAAA